RNAcentral lists this ribosomal RNA (465 nucleotides) under uncultured bacterium. RNAcentral describes it as "bacterial SSU rRNA". It matches the Rfam family "Bacterial small subunit ribosomal RNA", at positions 28 to 521 of the family's 1533-position model. The record is from RNAcentral.
GACGAACGCUGGCGGCGUGCCUAAAACAUGCAAGUCGAACGGUGUAGCAAUACACAGUGGCGAACGGCGGAGUAAUACAUAAGCAACGUGCCCUGAAGACUGGGAUAGUCAGAGGAAACUCUGGGUAAUACCAGAUGUGGUCCCUUUCCGGCAUCGGAGAGUGAUUAAAUGGUUUUUCGCUUCUGGAGCGGCUUAUGGCCUAUCAGGUAGUUGGUGAGGUAACGGCUCACCAAGCCGACGACGGGUAGCGGGUCUGAGAGGAUGAUCCGCUCGAGGUGGGACUGAGACACGGCCCACACACCUACGGGUGGCAGCAGUUGGGAAUCUUGCACAAUGGGGAAACCCUGAUGCAGCGACGCCGCGUGGAGGAUGAAGGAUCUAGGUCCGUAAACUCCUUUUCAGGGAAAGACUUAGGACGGUACCCUGAGAAUAAGGACCGGCUAACUACGUGCCAGCCGCCGCCGU